This 391-nucleotide ribosomal RNA is filed under the name Plectorhagada plectilis. Its description in RNAcentral is "partial 16S ribosomal RNA". It matches the Rfam family "Bacterial large subunit ribosomal RNA", at positions 1796 to 2553 of the family's 2925-position model. The record is from RNAcentral. Lineage: Eukaryota; Metazoa; Mollusca; Gastropoda; Stylommatophora; Camaenidae.
UCGCCUGUUUAUCAAAAACAUAGCUAUUAGAGAUAAUUAAUAGUGUCUUCUGCUCAAUGAGUAUUAAAUAGCCGCAGUACCCUGACUGUGCAAAGGUAGCAUAAUCAGUUGGCUUAUAAUUGAAGUCUUGUAUGAAUGAAUGAAUGAGGAGGAACUGUCUCGUCAAUAUUAAAUGAAAUUACUUAGCAAGUGCAAAUUCUUGUGAUAAAAUAAUAGACGAGAAGACCCUAGAAAUUUUGAGUAUAUGUUAAUUGGUUUUUGUUGGGGCAACAAUGUAACAAGAAACUUACAUUAUGGACAAGAAAUCUUUUUGGAUGAAUAAAUUACUCUAGGGAUAACAGCGUAAUGCUUAAGCGAUUGCGACCUCGAUGUUGGACUAGGAAGCAAAUGC